GCCUGGGUGGCUCAGUCGAUUAAGCAUCUGACUUCGGCUCAGGUCAUGAUCACCCAGUUCGUGGGUUCAAGCCCCGCAUCAGGCU
This 85-nucleotide transfer RNA is filed under the name Felis catus (domestic cat). It matches the Rfam family "tRNA". From Rfam's summary of the family: Transfer RNA (tRNA) molecules are approximately 80 nucleotides in length. Their secondary structure includes four short double-helical elements and three loops (D, anti-codon, and T loops). Lineage: Eukaryota; Metazoa; Chordata; Mammalia; Carnivora; Felidae. The record is from Rfam by way of RNAcentral.